RNAcentral lists this unclassified non-coding RNA (361 nucleotides) under soil metagenome. Its description in RNAcentral is "partial contains 5.8S ribosomal RNA, internal transcribed spacer 2, and large subunit ribosomal RNA". The stretch from base 1 to 120 matches the Rfam family "5.8S ribosomal RNA", at positions 35 to 154 of the family's 154-position model. The record is from RNAcentral.
GAUGAAGAACGCAGUGAAAUGCGAUAAGUAAUGUGAAUUGCAGAAUUCAGUGAAUCAUCGAAUCUUUGAACGCACCUUGCGCUCCUUGGUAUUCCGAGGAGCAUGCCUGUUUGAGUGUCAUUAAUAUAUCAACCUUCUCUUUUUUGAGUUGUUUGGAUGUGGGGGUUUGCUGGCCUCUUAAAUGAUUCAGCUCCCCUGAAAUGCAUUAGCAGAACAACCUGUUCAUUAGCGUGAUAAUUAUCUAUGCUAUUGAAUGUGAGGGCAGUUCAGCUUUCUAACCGUCCUUGGACAAUUCAUCAUUAAUGUGACCUCAAAUCAGGUAGGACUACCCGCUGAACUUAAGCAUAUCAAUAAGCGGAGG